This 251-nucleotide ribosomal RNA is filed under the name uncultured bacterium. RNAcentral describes it as "partial 16S ribosomal RNA". It matches the Rfam family "Bacterial small subunit ribosomal RNA", at positions 524 to 776 of the family's 1533-position model. The record is from RNAcentral.
UACGAGGGGGGCGAGCGUUGUUCGGAAUUAUUGGGCGUAAAGGGUGCGUAGGCGGCCUGACAAGUCUGAUGUGAAAUCCCUGGGCUCAACCCAGGGCCUGCAUCGGAAACUGUCGGGCUUGAGUAUGGGAGAGGUGAGUGGAAUUCCGGUGUAGCGGUGAAAUGCGUAGAUAUCGGAAGGAACACCUGUGGCGAAAGCGGCUCACUGGACCAUUACUGACGCUGAGGCACGAAAGCUAGGGAGCAAACAGG